Melospiza melodia melodia is the source of this 2421-nucleotide long non-coding RNA. RefSeq lists it as uncharacterized. The transcript has 10 exons. The record is from RefSeq and is a predicted model, not a curated record. Lineage: Eukaryota; Metazoa; Chordata; Aves; Passeriformes; Passerellidae.
GGCGGACCCGGCGGCGCCGAGAUGGGCGGGAGCAGAGCCCCGAAGAGCGGAGGCGGAGAUGGCGCUGAGCUUAGCUGGUGCUCCGGGAAAUAGAGAGUUGGGCAGAGUUCCCAUCCUGUGGAGCUUGCAGUUGGAAAAAUCCUCUACACACCAAGAAGGCUGGCAGAGUAGCAGUUGAUCCCCAGUGGGAGCCAGAGGGGGAAGGAAGCAACUAGCAAGCCAUUCUAGAAGUGCUGUGUGGUGUUUGGAGAGCUGGGUACCAGCUGCAGCACAGAUUUCCAGAGGUUUCAGCUGAGUGAGGAGAGGGCUGUGGGCUCAGGGUGCUUGAUCAAAGUGGGGCCUCCAGGACAGCCUGUUCUGUCUGCAGAGAAGUGCAGUUGGUGAGCAGUGUUAAAACACAGAACCAGCAGUGCCCAGGAACAUGUCUCUUCUGUGUCUCUCCUGCCCAUGCCCCACAGAUCUAAAUAUAUAUGAUUAAAUAUAAUAAACCACAGUGCCAGUACUUGUACAGGAGAGCAAGAGGACAGAGAAGAGGCCUCACCCAGAUGAACCAGAUGCUCUUCAGUGUCUGAGUCCUGUAAUGAUCUUGCAAUAAUACUUGUUAAACUCUGACCCUGAAAGGUGAGGAAGUGAAGGAAAUGGAAGAGUGAAAUUUGGGGAGUCUGGGGCAAAAAAGCCAAAGGAACCACGGGACAGCCUGUCUGGUUGAGAGAUUGAAAUUCCCAUAUGUCCCAAGAUGACGACUUCCCAGGGUACGCUGUGGCCACGGGGAUGAGGCGUCCACCAGAACAUCCCAUGGCAUUUCCAUGACUGCAGCAGACUGGAGGAAGCCUUAAGAACCUGAGCACCUGCUUCAUGCUGUCUGGACAGCUCAAAGAACUGCAGAGGGAAGGGAAUAAUCUCCCCCAGACCUUUGACAGCAUCACAUUUCCACCCCGUCACGGUGCCCGGUACGUGCAGUGCUGGCAGGAAGAGCUGGGGAAACUCCUGUUUGCUGGGCCAUGACCUGUGGAGCUGCAUCAUUUUAGGAAAUACCAGUUAAUGGAAUUGUCACCUUUAUGGACUCAUGCUCCAUUUCUCAACCUGUCUGGACUUUGGCCUCCAAAGGUUACCACAGCUAGUGAAGUAAUAUGAUUGAGUCUUUUCCGACAGAUUUAUGCAAGAUUUCUUCUCCAGCAAGUGUCACAUCGAGUCUAGUUCUGCAAAAGAGAAUAUUUCAAAGAUGCCAACUGUCAUCUAAACCCACUAAAUUGUUCUGUGGGGUUGAGAGGACUGAGGGCCAUCUCGGGCAAUUCUGAUUUACACUACCUGGAGCUGUUUCCCCGCUGCUUGAAAUACGGGCUCUGGUUAAUCACAAAAAAAGAGAACAUCCCUGUCUCCCAGAAAGCACAUUUAAAAUGGAAUUUUCAUUAGUUACUCUGUAAUGAAAAGGCAAAGGGUGUAUUUUAAGUGAAUCUGUCCAGAAUCUUGGAAGAAGGGGGGGUGUUAUUUGAUGGAAAACUACAGCAGCCACACACUAAACAGGAAAAAUUGGUCUUGAGUUCAUUUAAGACACAUACAUCCACAGAAUAUUUUCAAGUUUAUGGAAAGAUUUUGGAAUUAUAGAGGAUUCACUGCACAUGUAUCUGCUCCUCCUGCAUUUGAUACAAAGCACAAAUUAAUCAUCAUUAUUCUGCACUAAUAUAACACCUCUUAACCCUCAGCUUUCAGAAUAUUUCAAAGGAGCAAUGAAUUAAGCCUCAUGUGGGCUUGGGAAUAUGUGAUAAUCUAAACUUGGAUUCUUUAAUAAAAAGCAUUUUCAGGACUUUGAUUUUGGAAGUUGGAAACUUAUAAUUGUUCUUGAAAAUAUCUUCCUUUGUCACUCACUCGGAAAGAAAUCAUGUGAGUACUAGAGAAGUGAGAGGAAAUGGAAAAAUGUAUUGAGCAAAAGUUAAUAAAUUUGUCUGUACUUAUUUUUGUUAUUUAUUGGAGCAAAAAGACCUAGGUAAAUUGAGGUGCUAAUGUGAUAUAAGUGUAAAAAAGGCAAAUUUGAUGCCUGUCUGUAACUAAAAGAGUGCAGGGGGAAUUAUUAUUGCCACUGUACAAGUCUCUUGCAAGCCAUCAUUUAAACAUUACACAGUAUGUCAGACUCUGAUCACUCACGCUCAGAAAAGAUGAAUUCUGACUGACAGAAGUGAAGAAAAAACUAUUAGAUAAUCCACAACUUGCUGUUAUGAGAGAAAAUGAAUGAUUAAUAUUUAAGUUGGCAAAACAAAUAAGGGACUUCAGUGGUGUCUACAAAUACAUUGUGGGAGGAGAACAAGUAUUAUACUAAAAGAAACUGUCAGUGUAUGACUAUACAGAGGGCAGAAAUAAAUUUGUUUGUAAUGAACAGAGGAAUGGGAUUCUGGAACAGAAUCAGAUCCAUUUCUCUGGGCUUCA